Molecule: ribosomal RNA, 492 nt
Filed under: uncultured bacterium
Lineage: Bacteria
Description: partial 16S ribosomal RNA
Rfam family: Bacterial small subunit ribosomal RNA
Source: RNAcentral
AGUGAACGCUGGCGGUAGGCCUAACACAUGCAAGUCGAACGGCAGCACAGUAAGAGCUUGCUCUUACGGGUGGCGAGUGGCGGACGGGUGAGGAAUACAUCGGAAUCUACUUUUUCGUGGGGGAUAACGUAGGGAAACUUACGCUAAUACCGCAUACGACCUACGGGUGAAAGCAGGGGAUCUUCGGACCUUGCGCGAUUGAAUGAGCCGAUGUCGGAUUAGCUAGUUGGCGGGGUAAAGGCCCACCAAGGCGACGAUCCGUAGCUGGUCUGAGAGGAUGAUCAGCCACACUGGAACUGAGACACGGUCCAGACUCCUACGGGAGGCAGCAGUGGGGAAUAUUGGACAAUGGGCGGAAGCCUGAUCCAGCCAUACCGCGUGGGUGAAGAAGGCCUUCGGGUUGUAAAGCCCUUUUGUUGGGAAAGAAAAGCAGCAGGUUAAUACCCCGCUGUUCUGGCGGUACCCAAAGAAUAAGCACCGGCUAACUUCGUG